This is a long non-coding RNA of Orcinus orca (killer whale), 4265 nucleotides long. RefSeq lists it as uncharacterized. The record is from RefSeq and is a predicted model, not a curated record. NCBI's taxonomy places the organism in Eukaryota, Metazoa, Chordata, Mammalia, Artiodactyla, Delphinidae. The transcript is spliced from 2 exons.
AGUCUUCCAAAUCUUUUCUUCUUUUUCAGCUUAUUUUUACUAUUCUUAAUCUUUUGUGUUUUCAUAUACAUAUAAAAUCAGCUUGUUAAUUUCUACUACAAGCCUCAUGGAAUUUUGAUUGGGAUUGCACUGAAUUUGUAGGUCAAUUAGGGAAGAACGGAUACUUUAGCAAUAUUAAUUUUUCCCAUCCCUAAAUGUGUUAUAUGGUUUAAGUUUUUUAUUUAAUAACUUUUUGCAGUACGUAGUAGUUUUCAGAAUACAAGUCCUACCUAUCUUUUCUUAAAUUUAUUUUUGAAUAUUUUAUGUUAUUCCUUCAAUAGUAAAUGAAUUGCUUUUAAAUUUCAUUUUUUAAUAAUUUGCUGGUAUAAUUUUGAAAUAUAAUUAAACUUUGUGUAUUGACCUUAAUUCCUGUGACUUUGCUAAAUUCACUUACCAGUUCUAGUAGUUUUCGGGGUAGAUUCCUUAGAAUGUUUUAUAUAUACAAUCAUGUCAACUGCAAAAAAGACUGUUCUGCUUCUUUCUUUUAAAUUUUUAUACCUUUAUUUCUUGCUUACAUUGUUGUGCUAGAUAGGGCUUCCACUAUUCUGCUGAAUAGACAUGGAGACAGUGGGUACCUUGUUCCUGAACUAAGAAGCAUUCAAUAUUUCACCAAUAAGUAUGCCAUUAACUCUUCUUUCUUCAUAUAUUCCCAUUAUCAGGUUGAUGAAAUUCCUUUCUUUUCCUAGUGUUUUGAGAGGUUUUUUUUAUGAAUGGUGUGACAUUUUUUGACAUUUUCAAAAAUGUUUUUGCAUCAAUUGAGAUUUUAUUUUCUCUUUGAUUCUGUUAAUGUAAUGAAUUAGAACUAUUGAGUUCAUAACGUAAAACCAACCUUUAAUCCUGGCAUAAGCUCCAUUUAUUAAUAACAUUUAUCCUUUUCAUAUAAUGCUGAAUUUGAUUUGUUAAUAUUUUCUUGAGGACUUUGUAUAUUUAUUCAUGUAGGAUAUUAGUCUAUAAUUUUCUUUUCUUGUAAUGUCUUUGUCAGGUUGUAAUAACAGGGUUAUGCUGGCCUCAUUAAACUACUUGAAAAGCAUUUCCUUCUAUUUUCUCAAAGAGUUUGUAUAACACUGGUAUUAGUUUUGUGCUUAAACCUUUCAUAGAAUUUGUGAGUAAAGCCCUCUGGGCCGGGGUUUUCUUUGUUGAAAGGUUUUUAAUUAUGAAUUUAAUUUUGAAAAUGGAUAUAAAGCUCUUUGAAUUUUUCUAUUUCUUCCUGUGCUAAUUUUGGGAAGAUGUGCUUUUCAGGGAAUUUGUCCACUUGCUCUAAGUUGUUGAAAUUAUACGCAUAAAGUCAUUAAUGUUUUUGUCUUCUUGGAGAAUUGAAUCCCUUUUCAUCUUGUAAUAAGCCUAUCACUGGUAAUAUUUUUUGUCUGAAGCCUACCUUGAUAUUAAUAAAGCCACUUCAGCUUUCUUUUGAGUAGUGUCUGCAUGGAAUAUCUUCUUUCAUUCUUUUAGUUUUAAUCUAGUUAUCUCUUUAUAUCUAAAGUGGUAUUCUUGUAGGCAGCAUAUAGUUGGGCCUUGCUUUUUAUCUAAUCUAACAAUCUAUCUUUGAAUUAGUGUGGCUUACAUUUAAUGUGAUUAUUGAUAUGGUUGAAUUAAAAUCUACCAUCUAACCAGCUCUUUGCUGUUUCUUCCCUUUGUCCUUUGUUUCUUUUUUCCUUUCUUUUUGCUUCCUUUUCGAUUAAUUGAGCAUUUUCAUGAUUCAAUGUGAUUUCCACUAUUGAAUUAUCAUGCACACCUCUUUUGAAAAAGAUUUAGUACUUUUAGGGUUUACCAUGUACCUGGUAUUUAAUUGAAGUCCACUUUCACAUAAUAUCCUGUCAUGUCUAGUACAAAGACAAUAUAUCCCCAAUUUCUCCCUCUCAUUCUUCUUCUAUUCUUGCCACAUACUGACUCCUACAUAUGCUGUAAAUACACAAUACUACUAUUUUUGCUUUAGGUAGUUAUCUUUCAGAGCAAUUAAAAAUAAUAAAAAGUAAAUUUUGAACUUUGCUUACCUUUAGUUAUUCCAUUUACAGUGCUCUUAAUUUUUUUGUGUAGAUUCAAGCUUCUGUCUGCUAUUAUAUUCCUUCUGUCUGAGGAACUUUCUUCAAUAUUACUUAUAGCAUGGGUCUACUGGCAAUGAAUUCGCUCAGGUUUGGUUUUUGGUUUUGGUUCAGGAAAGUCUUUAUUUCUUGUUCCUUUUUGAAAGACAUUUUUGCUGGGUAUAGGAUUCUGACUUGACAGGUUUUUGUUGUUGUUCAGCUACAGAGACCUCAUUCCUUAUCUUCUGUCUUGUGUAGUUUCUGGAGAAGUCUACUGUAACUCUUAUCUUUAAUUUUUAUUCCUCUGUAUGGUAUGUGUCUUUUUUCACUGGCUGCCUUCAUAAUUUCCUUUGCCUUUGGUUUUCAGCAGCUUGUAUAUAAUAUGCCUAUGGUGUGGGAGUACUUUUGGUAGGGUAGCACUUAUCCUGCUUGGUGUUCUUUGAAUGUCUUGGAACUGUUGUUUCAUAUCUGUCAUUCAUUUUGGAAUAUUCUCGUGUAUUAUUUCUCCUUAUUUUUUCUUCCUGGGAUGCCAAUUACACACAGGUUAGACCUUUUGUUAUUAUAUCGUAUCUCUUGGAUGCUCUGUUGUGUUUCUCCACCCACUCUCUAUCCUUCCCCACUGUUCUGCAAUCCAUGCCAGAAUUGUUAUAAAUCCAGUUUCCACAGAUGUGAGGGUCUGACUGAAGAAACUUCAUUGCUGUUCUCCUCUUAUUCUCCAAAUCCUUGUGGGUUUAUCCCUUUAAAAGAUUGUUUUCUGCCAUUUUAGUGGUCUUGGGAAGGAGUGAAAGGAGAUGCACAUAGUCAAUCUACCAUCUUUACCUGGAAGUCAAGUGUGAGUUUCGUUAUUUAAAUUAAGAUGAAGAUAAACUGAGGCACAGAAGAUUAAGUAAUUUUUCCAAAGAUUCAGAAAUAGAAAAUGACAGAACUUGGCUCCUUAACCACUAUAUGUAUUCUGACUACCUCCAACAAAUUGGAAGAUGGUGGCUUUUAGGUAAUACCUUUGUUUUUGGUCUCUGCAAUCCUUCGUGCACUACUGUUACCUCUCCAAGAGUCUUAAUCUAUGAAUCAGUAAGAACAUAUUCAGUGCCUGUUAUGCGACCAGAAUUGUUUUGUUCACUGCGGAGGUAUAAAGAAAUACAGCAAAAAAAAAAAAACAAAAAAAAAAUACAGCAGGGCUGCUUCCUUCAGGGAGUUUACAUCUCUCUAAGAGAAGGCCCCCACUAGUCUGAAAAUAAGCUUAAUGGUACAAAGUAGUACCAUCAUUCAGGAAGGUGAAAGCUUGAUUUGAUCUGGGUGCUCAGAAACCAUGAAAAACUCAUUAAAAACACUGAUGGUUAUUCAAGAGUAUACUUAGCUUCUGGCUUACCCAUGCUGCCUUUCACUUCUCCCUUUACCUCUUGUUUUUGCAGCCUAAUUUUAGCUACUGUACUGUUAUAAAUAUUUUUUCCUCAGAGCAAAUUAAGAGGAUUGUUUAUAAGCUCAAAAGAUCUUUGUAAAAGUGUAAAGUGGGAAGAGUCUCAAAUUCUUGGUCACAGUGAUAUAUAGAUAUAGAUAUACCUUUUAUUCCAACUAUCUUCUUUCUCUGUCAAGAUGGAUAACUGAGAGUGAACAUGUAUUAACGUUAGGUGUUCUCUAGUAUUUCUGGAAUGGCUGUGAGUAAACAAAGGGUUGAUAGAUGCAAUAUUAUCUUUAGAUUGGCUAGCACAGGGACUGACUCCUAAUAGAUACCUAACAAAUGUUUAUUGUUUCAUGGAUGGAAUGAAUGAAAUUAAAUCCUAAGGUGAAUCUUUUUUAGACAAUGAGGAAAAUCCUCAUGAGUUUGUAUUUUAAUUUGAAGGAAUUUUCCUAAUUCAAUGCACAUCAACAUGUCUUAGGGAGAAAGUUGUUGUAGUUGAUUCAUUAUCCUUACCUGGAAGCUCUUCAGGAUUAAGGGACGGGAUUCACUCAUAGCUUAUGACCACUCCCUCCCUGGGGCAGUGCCUAGAAUUUGUUGGAUGGAAAGUUGAAUCAUUUGACAGUAUCUGGUUUGAGGCUGAAGGAAGUCUAAGGGCUCUGUAACCACCUAUCCCAACAGUAGGUUCUACACAAAACAGUAACAAUAGAAAAAAUUUUCAGGAAAAACUUGGUAAUGUAGUAGUCAGACCAUGUACUUUUUUUUUGGUGUUUUUAUUUUUUUAAUUUUUUUCAAUUAUUGGAGAUUAUAUAUAU